AGCGAACGCUGGCGGCAGGCCUAACACAUGCCAGUCGAACGAACCUUUCGGGGCUAGUUGCGGAAGUGUGAGUAACAAGUGGGAACGUGCCCUUAGGUUCGGUAUCAUUCAGGGAGACAUGUGCUAAUACCGCUUGUGCCCUUCCGGGGUAUGAUUUAUCGCCUUUUGAGCGGCGCGCGUCUGAUUAGCUAGUUGGGUGAGGUAAUGGCUCACCCAGGCGACGAUCAGUAGCUGGUCUGAGAGGAUGAUCAGCCACGUUGGGACUGAGACACGGACCACACUCCGACGGGAGGGAGCAGUGGAGAAUCUUACGGAAGGGACGAAGGUCUGACGCAGCCAUGCCGCGGGUAUGAUGAAGGUCUUAGGAUUGCAAAAUUCUUUCGCCCGGGACGUUAGUGACGGUACCCGGAGAAGAAGCCCCGGCUAACUUCGUG
Molecule: ribosomal RNA, 434 nt
Filed under: uncultured bacterium
Lineage: Bacteria
Description: partial 16S ribosomal RNA
Rfam family: Bacterial small subunit ribosomal RNA
Source: RNAcentral